RNAcentral lists this ribosomal RNA (391 nucleotides) under uncultured soil bacterium. RNAcentral describes it as "bacterial SSU rRNA". It matches the Rfam family "Bacterial small subunit ribosomal RNA", at positions 26 to 416 of the family's 1533-position model. The record is from RNAcentral.
AGAGUGAACGCUGGCGGCAGGCCUAAUACAUGCAAGUCGAACGGCAGCACGGCAGAGCUCGCUCUGUGGGUGGCGAGUGGCGGACGGGUGAGGAAUACAUGGGAAUCUGCCCAGUCGUGGGGGAUAACGUAGGGAAACUUACGCUAAUACCGCAUGCGCCCGUUCGGGGGAAAGCCGGGGACCUUCGGGCCUGGCGCGAUUGGAUGAGCCCAUGUCGGAUUAGCUAGUUGGCGGGGUAACGCCCACGAAGGCGACGAUCCGUAGCUGGUCUGAGAGAUGAUCAGCCACACUGGAACUGAGACACGGUCAGACCUCGUACGGAGCAGCAGUAGGAAUGUGGACAAGUCGGGCACAAGCUAGACUCCAGCCAGUCGCCGGCGUGGAGUAGAAA